UACGGAGGGAGCUAGCGUUGCUCGGAAAUACUGGGCGUAAAGCGCACGUAGGCGGCGCCGUAAGUCAGGGGUGAAAUCCCGGAGCUCAACUCCGGAACUGCCCUUGAAACUGCAGUGCUAGAAUUCUGGAGAGGCGAGUGGAAUUCCGAGUGUAGAGGUGAAAUUCGUAGAUAUUCGGAAGAACACCAGUGGCGAAGGCGACUCGCUGGACAGACAUUGACGCUGAGGUGCGAAAGCGUGGGGAGCAAACAGG
Molecule: ribosomal RNA, 253 nt
Filed under: uncultured bacterium
Lineage: Bacteria
Description: partial 16S ribosomal RNA
Rfam family: Bacterial small subunit ribosomal RNA
Source: RNAcentral